ACUAUGCAGCCCUGGCUGGUCUUGAAUUUAUUAUGUAGACCAGACUGGGCUUGAACUCACAGAAAACCCCCUGCUUCUGUUGCCUGAGGGCUGGGAUUAAAGGAGUGUACCACCACACCUGACCCUACUUAGUGUAUUGAUAGAUGGAGUUUUUUCCUCUCGGUGAGACGAAGGCCAAAGAAGACAGACCUUAACUGCACGCAGGAAAGACUGGAAGCGCCUAGGUAAAUCAGCGCAGCUGCACAGGCCUUCGUGGGAAUCACGGAGCCACCUGCAUCCCCAAUUACACGUUAAUUAGGUUUCUGCCUGUCGAGCUGGGAGAGCCAGCCUCCCCAAAUGAAUGCUUUCCCAUUGUUUUCCUGCAGAACUCGCUCUGAAAACUGAACCUAGGACCCUGCACAUGCUAAGCAAGUGCUAUCCUGCAGAGCUUCAGUCCCCCUGAUUGUCUAUUCCUGAAGGGUAACUCAGAUCAAGCUAUGAGGAAUGUAUGAUGAAAAAAACAAAAAAAAAGAUGAACUUCUCAUUCUUUUAACUCGUACAGAAAGAGUGGGUGGUGUGAAACCUUUGUAUAAGAACAGAAUUAUAAUGCCAUUUUUUUUUUUGUCUAUAAAACCCUGCUCUC
Molecule: long non-coding RNA, 622 nt
Organism: Meriones unguiculatus (Mongolian gerbil)
Lineage: Eukaryota; Metazoa; Chordata; Mammalia; Rodentia; Muridae
Exons: 3
Source: RefSeq, a predicted model, not a curated record